RNAcentral lists this ribosomal RNA (253 nucleotides) under uncultured bacterium. Its description in RNAcentral is "partial 16S ribosomal RNA". It matches the Rfam family "Bacterial small subunit ribosomal RNA", at positions 524 to 776 of the family's 1533-position model. The record is from RNAcentral.
UACGUAGGGGGCAAGCGUUGUCCGGAAUCAUUGGGCGUAAAGCGCGUGUAGGCGGUUCGGUAAGUCGGCUGUGAAAGUCCAGGGCUCAACCCUGGGAUGCCGGUCGAUACUGCCGGACUAGAGUUCGGAAGAGGCGAGUGAAAUUCCCGGUGUAGCGGUGAAAUGCGCAGAUAUCGGGAGGAACACCAAUGGCGAAGGCAGCUCGCUGGGACGUUACUGACGCUGAGACGCGAAAGCGUGGGGAGCAAACAGG